This 203-nucleotide long non-coding RNA is filed under the name Sorghum bicolor (sorghum). RNAcentral describes it as "long non-coding RNA (SBIC_LNC010376)". Lineage: Eukaryota; Viridiplantae; Streptophyta; Magnoliopsida; Poales; Poaceae. The record is from RNAcentral.
AGCCGGUGAGCUUCCUCUAAUAAAUAUUUACUCUCUUUUGUAGGAUCAUAAAUUUAUUUUUUAUAUUUUCAUUUUUAUAGGACAAAAAUAUUUUUAUUUUUAUGCCACCACAGUGAACGUACUUAUGGGUUUUAUGCCACGAGCAUACUCACAUGGGGCUUACUAUUUUUAACAUUUUUAUUUUCUUUUCAAGAUAGCAUGAU